Molecule: transfer RNA, 76 nt
Filed under: Candidatus Nomurabacteria bacterium
Lineage: Bacteria; Candidatus Nomuraibacteriota
Description: tRNA-His
Rfam family: tRNA
About the family: Transfer RNA (tRNA) molecules are approximately 80 nucleotides in length. Their secondary structure includes four short double-helical elements and three loops (D, anti-codon, and T loops).
Source: RNAcentral
GCGAAUGUAGCUCAGUUGGUAGAGCGCUGGAUUGUGGCUCCGGAGGUCGCAGGUUCGAGACCUGUCAUUCGCCCCA